RNAcentral lists this long non-coding RNA (605 nucleotides) under Corvus moneduloides (New Caledonian crow). RNAcentral describes it as "lncRNA (ENSCMUG00000018830.1)". The record is from RNAcentral. Lineage: Eukaryota; Metazoa; Chordata; Aves; Passeriformes; Corvidae.
UAGCAUUUCCUCGCUUGAGCAUCGCAGUAAUUUUUGUACCCUUUGGUCUCCCACAGCUGGUAUACCAAAAGAAAACGCCAGCACAAAACCCAGCCAAGCUCCUUGGAAAUGUAAAUAGACCGGAACCACUGGUGUCCUCUUAACACAGCAUCAAUCACUGCUGGGUGCUGGAAGUGGCAGCACAUUCGUUGCAGUCCAGGCAGCCAUUGCGGGCAGCAGAUGGAGAGGGUUUAAGACCUUGUAGCACUGUUUUGAAGCUUCUCUGCAGAAGAUGGAGCACAGAUGGAGUGUGCUUUGACCUGCUCACUCAGUUUACAGUAGGUUCAGUGUCUCGGUGUUCAGAGUGCCAUGGGGAGUAAAUAUGCUGAGUGGGAUGCAGUCCCUGCCCAAAGAUUGAGCCAGAGAAGAGACUGCAAGAAGAGACCAAGACUACCAAGGUGAGUGGCAAAACUAGAAAUUUGAACUCCUGGUUCUCGUGCCAGGACUCCCUUUGCAUACACCAGGCUACUUAAUUUGACUUCCCUUGAAAGGGGAAUAAGGCCCCUCUCCACUGAUUUUGAGCUGCUCCUGAGAGUUGUAAUAGUUGAUUUUGGCCCUGGUACAAG